GCUAACACUAGCCCCAAACACAACUAAUACUAGUAUCAAACUAGCAUAUACUAAACCAUUUACCCAUGCAAAGUAUAGGCGAUAGAAAUUUUAACCUGGCGCUAUAGAGACAGUACCGUAAGGGAAAGAAUGAAAAUCACCUAGGCAUAAAAUAGCAAGAACUAACCCCUGUACCUUUUGCAUAAUGAAUUAACUAGAACUAAUUUCGCAAAGAGAACUAAAGCCAAAUUCCCCGAAAUCAGACGAGCUACCCAAAAACAGCUAAAAGAGCGCACCCGUCUAUGUGGCAAAAUAGUGGGAAGAUUUAUGGGUAGAGGUGACAAGCCUACCGAGCCUGAUGAUAGCUGGUUAUCCAAGAUAGAAUCUUAGUUCAACCUUGAGCCUACUAACAGAACCACCUAAUCCUCCCGUAGACUCAAUUGUUAGUCUAAAGAGGGACAGCUCUUUAGACAUUAGGAAAAAACCUUAUAUAGAGAGUAAAAACCCCAACUACCAUAGUUGGCCUAAAAGCAGCCAUCAAUUAAGAAAGCGUUUAAGCUCAACAUCAACUACCCCUAAAAAUCCCAAACAUAUAACUGAACUCCUCACCCCACAUUGGAUUAAUCUAUCACCAUAUAGAAACAAUAAUGUUAGUAUGAGUAACAUGAACAUUUUCUCCACUGCAUAAGCCUAAAUCAGACCGAAAAAUCUCACUGAUACUUAACAGCCUAGUACUGACAAACACAAACAAGCCCGUACUAUAUCUACUGUUAACCCAACACAGGCAUGCUUUCAAGGAAGGUUAAAAAAAGUAAAAGGAACUCGGCAAACCUAACUCCCGCCUGUUUACCAAAAACAUCACCUCUAGCAUUACCAGUAUUAGAGGCACUGCCUGCCCAGUGACACACGUUUAACGGCCGCGGUACCCUGACCGUGCAAAGGUAGCAUAAUCACUUGUUCUCUAAAUAGGGACUCGUAUGAAUGGCAUCACGAGGGUUUAACUGUCUCUUACUUUCAACCAGUGAAAUUGACCUGUCCGUGAAGAGGCGGACAUAAAACAAUAAGACGAGAAGACCCCGUGGAGCUUUAAUUUACCAGUGCAACUAAAAACCUAUACAAACCUACAGGCCCCUAAACCUCUACACCUGCACUAAAAAUUUUGAUUGGGGUGAUCUCGGAGCACAACAAAACCUCCGAAUAAACCAUGCUAAGACCACACAAGUUAAAGCGGACUAACAUUUACAAUUGACCCAAUAAUUUGAUCAACGGAACAAGUUACCCCGGGGAUAACAGCGCAAUUCUAUUCUAGAGUUCAUAUCGACAAUAGAGUUUACGACCUCGAUGUUGGAUCAGGACAUCCUAAUGGUGCAGCAGCUAUCAAGGGUUCGUUUGUUCAACGAUUAAAGUCCUACGUGAUCUGAGUUCAGACCGGAGCAAUCCAGGUCGGUUUCUAUCUAUUAUAUAUUCCUCCCUGUACGAAAGGACAAGAGAAAUAGAGCCCACUCCACUAGAGCGCUCUCACUACAUAAAUGACCUAAUCUCAAUUUAAUAAAAUACUACAUACCCCACCCAAGAACAGGGUUU
RNAcentral lists this ribosomal RNA (1563 nucleotides) under Allenopithecus nigroviridis (Allen's swamp monkey). RNAcentral's name for it is "16S ribosomal RNA". It matches the Rfam family "Bacterial large subunit ribosomal RNA". The record is from RNAcentral. Lineage: Eukaryota; Metazoa; Chordata; Mammalia; Primates; Cercopithecidae.